This 524-nucleotide ribosomal RNA is filed under the name uncultured bacterium. Its description in RNAcentral is "partial 16S ribosomal RNA". It matches the Rfam family "Bacterial small subunit ribosomal RNA", at positions 28 to 523 of the family's 1533-position model. The record is from RNAcentral.
GACGAACGCUGGCGGCGUGCCUAAUACAUGCAAGUCGAGCGCAGGAAAUCGACGGAACCCUUCGGGGGGAAGUCGACGGAAUGAGCGGCGGACGGGUGAGUAACACGUAAAGAACCUGCCCUCAGGUCUGGGAUAACCACGAGAAAUCGGGGCUAAUACCGGAUGGGUCAUCGGACCGCAUGGUCCGAGGAUGAAAGGCGCUUCGGCGUCGCCUGGGGAUGGCUUUGCGGUGCAUUAGCUAGUUGGUGGGGUAAUGGCCCACCAAGGCGACGAUGCAUAGCCGACCUGAGAGGGUGAUCGGCCACGCGGGGACUGAGACACGGCCCAGACUCCUACGGGAGGCAGCAGUAGGGAAUCUUCCACAAUGGACGAAAGUCUGAUGGAGCAACGCCGCGUGAACGAUGAAGGCCUUCGGGUCGUAAAGUUCUGUUGUAAGGGAAGAACAAGUGCCGCAGGCAAUGGCGGCACCUUGACGGUACCUUGCGAGAAAGCCACGGCUAACUACGUGCCAGCCGCCGCCGUAA